GGCGGACGGGUGAGUAAUACUUAGGAAUCUGCCCAUUAGUGGGGGACAACUCGAGGAAACUCGAGCUAAUACCGCAUACGCCCUACGGGGGAAAGCGGAGGACCUUUCGGGGCUUCGCGCUAAUGGAUGAGCCUAAGUCGGAUUAGCUUGUUGGUGAGGUAAAGGCUCACCAAGGCGACGAUCCGUAGCUGGUCUGAGAGGACGAUUAGCCACACUGGGACUGAGACACGGCCCAG
Molecule: ribosomal RNA, 236 nt
Filed under: uncultured bacterium
Lineage: Bacteria
Description: partial 16S ribosomal RNA
Rfam family: Bacterial small subunit ribosomal RNA
Source: RNAcentral